Hipposideros armiger (great roundleaf bat) is the source of this 431-nucleotide long non-coding RNA. RefSeq lists it as uncharacterized. The transcript has 3 exons. The record is from RefSeq and is a predicted model, not a curated record. Lineage: Eukaryota; Metazoa; Chordata; Mammalia; Chiroptera; Hipposideridae.
AGCUGACCGAGAACACAUGGUUCUGGCCAAGGAGUCAAGGGGCCUCCCGGGCUGGGAACCCAAGGUCAUCACAGACUCUCUGGGCAUCGCAGGGGAAAGGCACCAUCCAGGUGUCUCAAAGGAGCAGGGUGGCCAGGCAGGAGGGACGGCGGUGACCUGCAGUCGGAAGGGAGGCGCCCUGGACAGCGCAGGUUGUUUUGUAGUGAGACCAGAGGGACAACCCCAUGUAAACUCCACCCAAGAGUGAUGUCUUGGUUUUAUUUUAAUGUUUCUGACUGAUCUUGGAAAUCAAGGAUUUUUUUGAUGUGUGAUUGUGUGUGUGUCUGGGAUUGUGGUCUUGUGGAGCCGAAGAACGGAGACACAGACCAGAGAGGUAAAGUUGCAGAAAAGGACGUCUUAUUAGAAGAAAAAAAAUACCAUUUCAAAGAAAC